Molecule: ribosomal RNA, 482 nt
Filed under: uncultured bacterium
Lineage: Bacteria
Description: partial 16S ribosomal RNA
Rfam family: Bacterial small subunit ribosomal RNA
Source: RNAcentral
AUUGAACGCUGGCGGCAUGCCUUACACAUGCAAGUCGAACGGUAACAGGUCUUCUGAUGCUGACGAGUGGCGAACGGGUGAGUAAUACAUCGGAACGUGCCCAGACGUGGGGGAUAACGAGGCGAAAGCUUUGCUAAUACCGCAUACGAUCUAAGGAUGAAAGCAGGGGACCGCAAGGCCUUGUGCGUUUGGAGCGGCCGAUGGCAGAUUAGGUAGUUGGUGGGAUAAAAGCUUACCAAGCCGACGAUCUGUAGCUGGUCUGAGAGGACGACCAGCCACACUGGGACUGAGACACGGCCCAGACUCCUACGGGAGGCAGCAGUGGGGAAUUUUGGACAAUGGGCGAAAGCCUGAUCCAGCAAUGCCGCGUGCAGGAUGAAGGCCUUCGGGUUGUAAACUGCUUUUGUACGGAACGAAAAGGCUCUGGCUAAUACCUGGGGCACAUGACGGUACCGUAAGAAUAAGCACCGGCUAACUACGUG